RNAcentral lists this ribosomal RNA (95 nucleotides) under Oryzias melastigma (Indian medaka). Lineage: Eukaryota; Metazoa; Chordata; Actinopteri; Beloniformes; Adrianichthyidae. The record is from RNAcentral.
AGCUGUAACUCCCUGAAAAAACCCAAUCUUAUCUGAUCUUGGGAGAUGAGUAGGGUCAGGCCUGGUUAGUUAAAGACAAGCAAAGACUACAGGUC